Erinaceus europaeus (western European hedgehog) is the source of this 522-nucleotide long non-coding RNA. RefSeq lists it as uncharacterized. The record is from RefSeq and is a predicted model, not a curated record. The transcript is spliced from 2 exons. Lineage: Eukaryota; Metazoa; Chordata; Mammalia; Eulipotyphla; Erinaceidae.
CUCUCAAUUCAUACCAAAUGAUACUGCAUCUGCUGAUCCCAGCCUAAUCAAUGCAGAGAGUACUACCUCAGCAUGCUUGACUUCAGACUGUGUCCAGAGACCUCAGGUAUGGAAUGUCAACCCUUCAGCCUCAUAACUUGGUCACCAGGCUCCAGAUGCUAGCAUGAUGCCGACCAGACUUCCCUGGACAGAUGACCCCACCAGUGUAUCCUGGAGCUCCAAUUCCCCAGAGCCCUUCCCCACUAGGGAAAGAGAGAGGCAGACUGGGAGUAUGAAUCAACCUGUAAAUGCCCCUAUUCAGCGGGGAAGCAAUUAUAGAAGUCAGAUCUUCGACGUACUGCAUUCCACAAUGACCUUGGGUCCAUACUCCCAGAGGGGUAAAGAAUAGGAAAGCUAUCAGGGGAUGGGAUGGGAUAUGGAGUUCUGGUAGUGGGAAUUGUGUGGAGUUGUACCCCUCUUAUCCUAUGGUUUUUUUCAGUGUUUCUUUCUUAUGAAUAAAAAUAAAUAAAAAGAAAGAAAAAA